Molecule: long non-coding RNA, 5854 nt
Organism: Oncorhynchus nerka (sockeye salmon)
Lineage: Eukaryota; Metazoa; Chordata; Actinopteri; Salmoniformes; Salmonidae
Exons: 3
Source: RefSeq, a predicted model, not a curated record
AACCAAAGGGCACACUUAUACAAGUAUUAAUCAGUGGGAACAGGGGACAGGUGUGCGUAAUGAAAGUUCCAGAGGGAUCCGUGAUAGUACCCCGACGCAGUGCACUAGCAGCUCAAUGACACAGGCCUCGAGGACAAUCCCAGGAUCGUUAUGCGGGUCUUUCAGGACCCGGUGCAGCUGCCGAAGUUGUGUCGUCAUCAGAGGGUCAGUUGCCACUGCCAAAGUUGCAUCGGCGACAGACGGACGGACCAGUAGCAGUGGUGUCUGACAGACCGACUGUGGCGGCGUCGGACGGGCCAGUUGUGGCUGCUGAAGUGACGUCGGACGGACCUGAUGUGGCGACGUCAGACGGCCCAGUUGCAGCUGCCAAGGUUGCAGCUGCGUCGGACGGACCAGUCGCAGCAUCGUCGGAUGGGCCAUUCCCGCUGUCUCCCUUAAUGGUCGAUUAUUCUGUCACGUUGGCAUGAAGGAUCGGGAGAGAGGCGCAGGAAUGCAUAAUAGGGUUUUUAUUAUGCCCCAAAUUACGGUGUGCCGAGUAAGGGCACGAAAGCCCAAAACACACAGCACAGGUACUCACACGCACCAACGGACAUUCUAACAAUAAUCGACAGCCCAAUGGAAACCAAAGUGCACACUAAAACAACUACUAAUCAGUGGGAACAGGGGACAGAUGUGCAUAAUGACCGUUCUGGAGGGAUCCGUAUCAUUGUUUUCAUGAGUGUGACAGUGAUUAACUGCUCAAUUCUUUCUAUAGGUUCAAGUGGUAUCGGAUCACUGAGUCAAGUGGCACAGGUUACUACCAUGAUAAGGACCUUUGCUGCUACUGGGCAAUCAGGUCCGGAUAAAACACUUUUGCUGAGGCGUAUGAUAACAGUAGAUAACCGAACGCUUGAGAUGGAUAACAAGAUAAAUACCUUGUUAGUCAAUGGCCAAUGGGUCGGUUGGAGAUUUAUCUUUGCCUGAUGAUCUCAAUCUCCCGAUGGGAUACCAGCAAGGCCUGCAGCUGCUGGAGACCAGGCUGGGCCAGGACACUGAGCUCCAGGAGAGACUUGUAAGUGUGCUCAGAAUUUUAUAUAGCAUUGCAUUUUCCAACUUUGACGAUGUUGUUGCGACCGUUGUAAACUGACGAGACAGCAGCAUGUAUUAAAUUCAUCCGCUCAGCAUUUUGAAAGUAAAUACUUGUUGGAAAUCUGACAUCUGUCUUUACAGACUGUCAUAAUACAUGGAUAUAAAAUAUAUGUGGUUUGGGAGGGAAAUGUUUCAACAUAGUGUGUCAUUUCUAAUACUUUUACAUUUGUAGCUUAGGUGUAUGGCUGUAAAGGGUGCCAAGGACCUGAACUCAACAGUGGGGCGGAUGUUACCUUGCAUUCUGCCAAACCAGCGUGCCAUCGCAAGGACUUAAUAUAUAGUAUAGGACUUUAUAUAGGACUUUAUAUAGGACUUUAUAUUAUUAAAUGUGUUACUUUUAAGUAUUUUUUUAAAGCUUGUUGUGUAAAACCUUCUGCAAUUUAAAUUCAAAACUCAAUGUUCUUUCUUUGUGUAUAGGAACCAUUUGCUAGAACCCUGCAACCAGGGAUGCCACGGAUGAAGGGGUCCAGAUUCAAGUCAACCAUUACAUGAAAGGGGCUUCCGAUCAUGAACGUGGGAGAAGGAGGCGCACAGGGGAGAGGGAUCCGCUGGAGUGAGGGCCAUCAUCAAGUCUCAGAUCACUUUUCUCAAAACCAGGCUCUACCCCCAAGCCACAAGACUGAUCCAACAGCAGAACCCUGGGCUGACUACUGCACCAUACCACACACUUACCAUUUAUUCAUAGACGCAGUUACAUCACAUUUGUAACAUAUUGUGUCACGGCUUUCAUCCUGGGAAGGAGAGGUGGACCAAAAUGCAGCGUUGUUAUAGUUCAUGGUUAUUUAAUAAGAAAACUCAAACAUGAACACAACUACAAAACAAGAAACGUGAAAAUCGAAACAGCCCUAUCUGGUGCAGUAAACAUAGAGACAGGAAACAAUCACCCACAAAAUACCCAAAGAAUAUGGCUGCCUAAAUAUGGUUCCCAAUCAGAGACAACGAUAAACACCCGCCUCUGAUUGACAACCAUAGACUUACCUAGACAACUAAACUGAACACAACCCCAUUAAUCUACAAAAACCCCUAGACAAGACAAAACACAUAAAUCACCCAUAUCACACCCUGGCCUUACCAAAAUAAUAAAGAAAACAAAGAUAACUAAGGGCAGGGCGUGACAGAACCCCCCCCCAAACGUGCGGACUCCCUGCCGCACACCUAAACCCAUAGGGGAGGGUCUGGGUGGGCAUCUGUCCACGGUGGCGGCUCUGGCGCGGGACGUGGACCCCACUCCACCAUAGUCUUAGUCCGUUUUUGGAGCAUCCUAGGAACGGCGACCCUCGCCGCCGACCUAGGAUUGGCAACCCUCCUAAAUGGCCCCACUGGACUGAGGGGUAGCUUCGGACUGAGGUAGCUCAGGACUGAGAGGUAGCUCAGGCUGGUUGACGGCUCUUGCAGCUUCUGGCUGAAUGGCGGCUCUGGCGGAUCCUGGCUAAAUGGCGGCUCUGGCGGAUCCUGGCUGAAUGGUGGCUCUGGAAGAUCCUGGCUGAAUGGCGGCUCUGGAGGAUCCUGGCUGAAUGGCGGCUCUGGUGGAUCCUGGCUGACUGGCAGCUCUGGAGGAUCCUGGCUGACUGGCGGCUCUGGCGGAUCCUGGCUGACUGGCAGCUCUGGCGGCUCAUGACAGACGGGAGACUCUGGCGGCUCAUGACAGACGGGAGACUCUGGCGGCUCAUGACAGACGGGAGACUCUGGCGGCUCAUGACAGACGGGAGACCUCGACUUGGAGCUCCGGUACCGCUUGCUGUGCGGUAGCAGAGAGAACAGUCUAUGACUAGUGUGGCUGGAGGCUUUGACAAUUUUUAGGGCCUCCCACUGACACCGCCUGGUAUGUAGGCCCUGGAUGUCAGCAAGCUUGGCCCCAGUGAUGUACUGGCCCGUACGCACCACCCUCUGUAGUGCCUUAAGGUUGGAGGCCGAGCAGUUGCCAUACCAGCAGUGAUGCAACCAGUGCUCUCAAUGGUGCAGCUGUUGAACCUUUUGAGGAUCUGAGGACCAGUGCCAAAUCUUUUCAGUCUCCUGAGGGGGAAUAGGUUUUGUUGUGCCCUCUUCAUGACUGUCUUGGUGUGCUUGGACCAUGUUAGUUUGUUGGUGAUGUGGACACCAAGGAACUUGAAACUCUCAACCUGCUCCACUACAGCCCCGUUGAUGAGAAUGGGGGCCUGCUCGGUCCUCCUUUUCCUGUAGUCUGCAAUCCGUCAUGAGUGAACAGGGAGUACAGGAGGGGAGGGGCCCCUGUGUUGAGGGUCAGUGUGCCGGAUAUGUUGUUACCUACCCUUACCACCUGGGGCGACCUGUCAGGAAGUCCAGGAUCCAGGUGCAGAGGGAGUUGUUUAGUCCCCGGGUCCUGAGCAUAGUGAUGAGCUUUGAGGGAACUAUGGUGUUGAACCCUGAGCUGUAGUCAAUGAAUAGCAUUUUCACUGGUGUUCCUUUUGUCCAGUGGUAAAAGGGCAGUGUGGCGUGCAAUAGAGAUUGCAUCAUCUGUGGAUCUGAUGGGGCGGUAUGAGAAUUGGAGUGGGUCUAGGGUUUCUGGUAGCAUACUUUCUUAGGUAAAGGAUUAAACAGUGAACAUUGAGCUCUCCUAGAUGGGUGAGCAUGGGUAGCCAUGCGUGUGUGUGUGUGUGUGUGUGUGUGUGUGUGUGUGUGUGUGUGUGUGUGUGUGUGUGUGUGUGUGUGUGUGUGUGUGUGUGUGUGUGUGUGUGUGUGUGUGUGUGUGUGUGUGUGUGUGUGCGUGCGUUGCUAUGCAAGCUUUUCCUGCAAGUGAGAUAUUGACAGCGGCUGCCUGUGGAAAGCGCUUUGAUGUGCUGGAGUGGACAGAGGAACGGAGGUCCUUUCUGCUCUCUCACACACACACACUCUGCUUUUUCACUCCAGCCGGUACUCUACAGGGAUGUUAGUCACAUACAGUAGAUCUAUAUACAGUAGAUCAAUAUAUAUAUAUAUAUACUACCGCUCAAAAGUUUGGGGUCACUUGUUUUUGUCCUUGUUUUUGAAAGAAAAUAACACUUUUUGUCCAUUAAAAUAACAUUAAAUUGAUCAGAAAUACAAUGUAGACAUUGUUAAUGUUGUCAAUUACUAUUUUUACUAUUUGAUUUUUUCAAAUGGAAUAUCUACAUUGGCGAACAGAGGGCCAUUAUCAUCAACCAUCACUCCUGUGUUCCAAUGGCACGUUGUGUUAGCUAAUCCAAGUUUAUCAUUUUAAAAGGCUAAUUGAUCAUUAGAAAACCCUUUUGCAAUUAUGUUAGCACAGCUGAAAACUGUGUGCUGAUUAAAGAAGCAAUAAAACUGGUCUUCUUUAGACUAGUUGAGUAUCUGGAGCAUCAGCAUUUGUUGAUUCGAUUACAGACUCAAAAUGGCAAGAAACAAAGAACUUUCUUCUGAAACUCGUCAGUCUAUUCUGGUUCUGAGAAAUGUGAGAAAUUGCCAAGAAACUGAAGAUCUCGUACAACACUGUGUACUACUCCCUUCACAGAACAGAGCAAACUGGUUCUAACCAGAAUAGAAAGUGGAUUGGGAGGCCCCGGUGCACAAUUUAGCAAGAGGACAAGUACAUUAGAGUGUCUAGUUUGAGAAACAGAUGUCUCACAAGUCCUCAAAUGGCAGCUUCAUUAAAUAGUACCCACAAAUCACCAGUCUCAACGUCCACAGUGAAGAAGCGACUCCGAGUUGCUGGCCUUCUAGGCAGAGUUCCUCUUAAACUUGUAUUUUUAUUGGCCAGUCUGAGAUAACUUUUUCUUUGCAUCUCUGCCUAGAAGGCCAGCAUCCCGGAGUCGCCUCUUCACUGUUGAUGUGUCUGUCAUUAAGGCAACGGGUGGCUACUUUGAAGAAUCUAAAAUAUGACUUAUAUAUUUUGAUUUGUUUAACACUUUGUUGGUUACUACUGUAACGUCAUGUUUUAAACUCAUACUCUUAAACACAUAGAUCCCCUGAACGCAGUUCACUUUCCAGCCCACUUUCCAGCUCACACUUUCAAAGACAUAGAUCCCCCGAAUGCAGCUCACUCUCCAGAUCCCAAUCACCUGAAUUCUGAUCACCUGUUCUAACACCUGUAUAUCAUUUACACACACUAUUUAGUUCAGUUCAUUGCACCCAAUCAUUGUGAGGUAUUGUUUGUUUUUGAUCACAUUCUAUUCGGAGCUCUGUUUAUUUCAAUAUUAGUCCACCCGUGUAUUGUAGUUUUUGGCCAUCCUCACUAACAAAGUUUUUUGCCUAUUCCUUGCCUGUACUUUUGUCAGAUUUCCUGUCAUCAACCUCUUGCCUGAUUGUCCCUCUCCUUGUUCGAGCGGUGUUCGGCGGUCGACGUCACCGGCCUUCCAGCCAUCACUGAUCCAUUUUUCAUUUUCCAUUGGUUUUGUCUUGUCUUCCUUCACAUCUGGUUCCAAUCCCAUCAAUUACAUGUUGUGUAUUUAACCCUCUGUUUCCCUUCAUGUCCUUGUCGGAGAUUGUUUUAUUGUAUGUCAUGUGCAAGUCAUGUGUCGGUGUACCCACUUAUAUCAUUUUUUUUACAUUUUGGUUUUCGGAGUUUUAUGAGCACUUAUUAAACGACUUGCCACCGACACGCACCCAUUACACUUAUCUCCCGGACUACGUUAUUAGCCUUUUUCCCAUGUCUGUACUGUUACCUUUUGGAUUCCCUGUGUAUGACCUUCUGCCUGUCCCUGGACCCUGCUAUCUGCCUCCUCCUGUUGUCCUUUGCUAAAUAAACACCUGCUGCGCCCUGCGCUUGAAACCA